This 468-nucleotide ribosomal RNA is filed under the name uncultured bacterium. RNAcentral describes it as "partial 16S ribosomal RNA". It matches the Rfam family "Bacterial small subunit ribosomal RNA", at positions 28 to 507 of the family's 1533-position model. The record is from RNAcentral.
GACGAACGCUGGCGGCGUGCUUAACACAUGCAAGUCGAACGGAAAGGCCCUGCUUUUGUGGGGUGCUCGAGUGGCGAACGGGUGAGUAACACGUGAGUAACCUGCCCUUGUCUUUGGGAUAACUUCAGGAAACUGGGGCUAAUACCGCAUAGGAGCUCCUGCUGCAUGGGGGGGGUUGGAAAGUUUCGGCGGUUGGGGAUGGACUCGAGGCUUAUCAGCUUGUUGGUGGGGUAGUGGCUUACCAAGGCUGUGACGGGUAGCCGGCAUGAGAGGGUGGACGGCCACCAUGGGACUGCGAGACGGCCCAGACUCCUACGGGAGGCAGCAGUGGGGAGUAUUGCACAGUGGGCGGAAGCCUGAUACAGAAACGCCGCGUGCGUGAUGACGUCCUUCGGGGUGUGAACCGCUUUCGCCUGUGACGAAGCGGGAGUGACGGUAAUGGGUAAAGAAGCACCGGCUAACUACGUG